GACGAACGCUGGCGGUGUGCUUCACACAUGCAAGUCGAACGAGGUAGCAAUACCUAGUGGCGGACGGGUGAGUAACGCGUGGGAAUCUGCCCAUAGGUGGGGGAUAACUAGCCGAAAGGUUAGCUAAUACCGCAUACGCCGAAAGGUAAAAGGAGUAAUCCGCCUUUGGAUGAGCCCGCGUCCGAUUAGCUAGUUGGUAGAGUAAAAAGCCUACCAAGGCGACGAUCGGUAGCUGGUCUGAGAGGAUGAUCAGCCACAAUGGGACUGAGACACGGCCCAUACUCCUACGGGAGGCAGCAGUGGGGAAUUUUACGCAAUGGGGGAAACCCUGACGUAGCGACACCGCGUGAAUGAAGAAGCCCUUUGGGGUGUAAAAUUCUGUCGGCUGGGAAGAAAAAAUAGAACGGCACCAGCAAAGGAAGACAUCGGCUAACUAACGUGCCAGCAGCCGCGGUAAU
This 458-nucleotide ribosomal RNA is filed under the name uncultured bacterium. RNAcentral describes it as "bacterial SSU rRNA". It matches the Rfam family "Bacterial small subunit ribosomal RNA", at positions 28 to 524 of the family's 1533-position model. The record is from RNAcentral.